Molecule: ribosomal RNA, 538 nt
Filed under: Vermamoeba vermiformis
Lineage: Eukaryota; Tubulinea; Echinamoebida; Vermamoebidae
Description: SSU rRNA
Rfam family: Eukaryotic small subunit ribosomal RNA
Source: RNAcentral
CGUAUAUUAAAGUUGUUGCAGUUAAAAAGCUCGUAGUUGGAUUUCGGAAGGUCCUUAGUAAUCCGCCCCUUCGGGGAGCGGGUUGCUGGCCUCCUAUGUUCCUAACGGUCCUCAUCCGCGAGGGUGGGGAAUCAACCGCUAGGAUCGUUUACUUUGAGGAAAUUAGAGUGUUCAAAGCAGGCGUAACUCGCCUCCGAAUACGUUAGCAUGGGAUAAUGGAAUACGACUUCGGUCUUGUUUCGUUGGUUUCGCUUGGCUGAAGUAAUGAUUGAUAGGGACAGUUGGGGGCAUUAGUAUUUAGUUGUCAGAGGUGAAAUUCUAGGAUUUACUAAAGACUGACCAAUGCGAAAGCAUUUGCCAAGGAUGUUUUCAUUAAUCAAGAACGAAAGUAGGGGGAUCGAAGACGAUCAGAUACCGUCGUAGUCUCUACCGUAAACUAUGCCGACCAGGGAUCCGGAGAGUUUGCAUGGAUGACUCCCCGGGCACCUUGUGAGAAAUCAUAAGUGUUUGGGUUUUGGGGGGAGUAUGGUCGCAAGGC